This 451-nucleotide ribosomal RNA is filed under the name uncultured bacterium. RNAcentral's name for it is "partial 16S ribosomal RNA". It matches the Rfam family "Bacterial small subunit ribosomal RNA", at positions 29 to 523 of the family's 1533-position model. The record is from RNAcentral.
AGCGAACGCUGGCGGCAGGCUUAACACAUGCAAGUCGAGCGGGCAUAGCAAUAUGUCAGCGGCAGACGGGUGAGUAACGCGUGGGAACGUACCUUUUGGUUCGGACCAACACAGGGAAACUUGUGCUAAUACCGGAUAAGCCCUUACGAGGAAAGAUUUAUCGCCGAAAGAUCGGCCCGCGUCUGAUUAGCUAGUUGGUGAGGUAAUGGCUCACCAAGGCGACGAUCAGUAGCUGGUCUGAGAGGAUGAUCAGCCACAUUGGGACUGAGACACGGCCCAAACUCCUACGGGAGGCAGCAGUGGGGAAUAUUGGACAAUGGGCGCAAGCCUGAUCCAGCCAUGCCGCGUGAGUGAUGAAGGCCCUAGGGUUGUAAAGCUCUUUUGUGCGGGAAGAUAAUGACGGUACCGCAAGAAUAAGCCCCGGCUAACUUCGUGCCAGCCGCCGCGGUAA